GCACUUGUGCUGGAAAACAAAUUGUGCAUACAAAUGAGUAAAUGUGUACUUUUGGCUACCACAUUUUCAAAGUGCCACUACUAUUUUGUGUUCGAGCUGCUUCAUUUAUACAUAUAGUACGAUUGAUUGAAAUGCGCGAGUUAAUGUCGCUUUAAAGCUAUGAGAUAAACGACUUCAUUGUUGUGAAGGCCCAAUAAACCCAUUUAAAUUUUUCAUUUUUAUUUCUCUCUUUUUCGCUCACACUUAUUUAAACGACGAACAAUUUGUAAAUGAAUCGCUGUUAAGUUUGUUGUACUUCACAAAUUGUGUCUUCGCAUUCUAGUUGUUGUAAUCAUUGUGCUAUUGUGUGUGGUAGAAUGAAGUGCACGCAAAGUUUUUCUACGAAAAUUAACAUGGCUGAAUUUGAAGAAGUUCACUUUUGGAUCACAAACGAAUGUGUCUCGGUGGCAUAGUCUUGCUCUCAAGGGGUGUGGAUAAAACAGCGGCUUGCUUGCUGGCUUGCAAUAAGCGCACAUGGAAUGCUUAAAACUGUACCAGUCAGCAGAUGAACUAAAUCAAAACGAUCUUUUUGAAAAGACCACAUUUGAAUGUGUCAUCAAUUUCUAUGAAAUCACUGCAGGAAUUCUGCUACCACUACUUUAGAGGAUUGCCAAUGAAGACAUAAAUUUCCAACUAUGGUUUUCGGCACUUAGUAAGUUCCAUUUUAUUCUCCAUCAUCACAUAAUACUUGCUACGAAUGCACUUUUCAUGCAGUGGAUGUAUAUCGUACGCCCACGAUAAUAUGCUUCGUGCGUUAAAACACUGCUGGUGCGCACCACCUUUGGUUUUGCAGCUUCAAUCAUAUCAAUGAUAUCGGCAGUUAUUUUGAAAAUUUACACUUAAUGAUUGGAUGGUCUAUUCGUGUUCGACGAAAG
Molecule: long non-coding RNA, 914 nt
Organism: Sitodiplosis mosellana (orange wheat blossom midge)
Lineage: Eukaryota; Metazoa; Arthropoda; Insecta; Diptera; Cecidomyiidae
Exons: 3
Source: RefSeq, a predicted model, not a curated record